GCGAGCGUCGCCUAGUGGUUAUGGCAGAGGUUUGUGGUACCUCCACUCGCGGGUUCGAAUCCCGUCGUUCGCC
This is a transfer RNA of Chamaesiphon minutus PCC 6605, 73 nucleotides long. It matches the Rfam family "tRNA". Rfam says of the family: Transfer RNA (tRNA) molecules are approximately 80 nucleotides in length. The record is from Rfam. NCBI's taxonomy places the organism in Bacteria, Bacillati, Cyanobacteriota, Cyanophyceae, Gomontiellales, Chamaesiphonaceae.